Molecule: ribosomal RNA, 497 nt
Filed under: uncultured bacterium
Lineage: Bacteria
Description: partial 16S ribosomal RNA
Rfam family: Bacterial small subunit ribosomal RNA
Source: RNAcentral
ACUCAAAUGAAUUGACGGGGGCCCGCACAAGCGGUGGAGCAUGUGGUUCAAUUCGACGCAACGCGAAGAACCUUACCUGGGCUCGAACGGCUCACGAAAGCCCGUAGAAAUAUGGGUUUCCCGCAAGGGACGGGAGUCGAGGUGCUGCAUGGCUGUCGUCAGCUCGUGUCGUGAGAUGUUGGGUUAAGUCCCGCAACGAGCGCAACCCUCGUCCUGUGUUGCUAACCGAAAGGUGCACUCUCAGGAGACUGCCGGCGAUAAGCUGGAGGAAGGUGGGGAUGACGUCAAGUCAUCAUGGCCUUUAUGUCCAGGGCUACACACGUGCUACAAUGGGCGGUACAAUGCGCUGCAAACCUGCGAAGGGGAGCUAAUCGCAAAAAACCGUUCUCAGUUCGGAUCGCAGGCUGCAACUCGCCUGCGUGAAGCUGGAAUCGCUAGUAAUGGCGUAUCAGAAUGACGCCGUGAAUACGUUCCCGGGCCUUGUACACACCGCCCGU